Molecule: unclassified non-coding RNA, 251 nt
Filed under: Pleosporales sp.
Lineage: Eukaryota; Fungi; Ascomycota; Dothideomycetes; Pleosporales
Description: partial contains 5.8S ribosomal RNA, internal transcribed spacer 2, and large subunit ribosomal RNA
Source: RNAcentral
CGCACAUUGCGCCCCUUGGUAUUCCAUGGGGCAUGCCUGUUCGAGCGUCAGAAAACACCCUCCAGCCUGGCUGGGUGCUGGGCGUUGUUGUUCCGCCGCGCGCGCGAACUCGCCUCAAACAUAUUGGCAGCCGGCCGUCCUCGGCAGGAGCGCAGCACAUUUUGCGUUUCCCCGUGGGUACGGCGGCAUCCACAAGUCUUUUUUUUUUUCUGUUUGACCUCGGAUCAGGUAGGGAUACCCGCUGAACUUAA